CGCGAGUGGUUGUGUCGUUCAAUUUUAUUCAUCAUCGAGUACGCAAUUAAUUGAUUAUUGGAUCAACUUCAAAGGAGGGAAAAAUUUCAAUAUGGACGUCAUCAUAUUUUUCCAAAGAGAAGUUUGAUAUUUUGCUUGUGUACUGUAUGUAUUUAUUCUGUUUUUAUUCGAUCAUUUUUAUGUAAUAUACUUUAUUAUUUCAAAGUAUAAUUAUAUUUUUAUAAUGAAUAUUCACCACAAAUAUAUUUAAUACUUUAGUUGAAAUAAUAAUUUAAAAUAUGCAUUCUAUUUUAUAUAUGAAAUUUUUUUAUUUAUGAAAAUUUCUGAAUAUGUUCUGAAACAAAUGUUUAAACAAAAAGAAGAAACAAAAAAAAUUUUGUUUUUUAUGAAAUAUAAAUUUCCUUCUUUUUCUAAUUUUUCCAUUAUAAUAUAUAGUUUAUAAUAAUACAGUUUUAUUUUCAGAGGAUUUUUGUGACCACGUGCAAUGUGGUCGAUAGAUUCAGUGUUAUUUCCCUAGUAACUUUUUUUAUACUUUAAAAUAUAAUAACUUAAAUUAAAUUUAUUUAUUAUAUUGUGAAAUUAGAGUCAGUGCUUGUUCGUUGUUUAUAUUUUAAACUGAUUUAAUAGUUUUUUAUUUUUAAUUUUUUUUUAAAUAUUUGUUUUCGGUAUAAAGUAGAGUCAGUGUUUCUCAAAAGAAUAAAACUCUCAUCAAUAACGCAAAGAGUUUCUACUUUCUUACUUGAUGACUACUUUACUUGGUGACAUCCCAUACAUCUCAACAGUAUUGACAUCGCAUCUAAUGGUGAGUCGCAUGCUUUUUGGUUCCUCUGAUCACUCAAUCAUGUCGUAGGACGAAAGGUCUGAAUCGACACGGGUGACUAGUUGUAUACGUAGAUUUUUGCACGAGCACAGUGAUCGCGGGUAUUUUUUAUACCCGUGAGUAAUAACAUUUCUUUUUUUUUUUAUAUUUUAUUUAUUAGAUUAGGAUAGAUCUUCUUGCAUGUCGCGUUUUUUAGAAAAUGAUAUAAAUAAAUGAAUGAUAUUAAUAUAAUGAUAUUA
Molecule: long non-coding RNA, 1059 nt
Organism: Apis cerana (Asiatic honeybee)
Lineage: Eukaryota; Metazoa; Arthropoda; Insecta; Hymenoptera; Apidae
Source: RefSeq, a predicted model, not a curated record